ACUCCUUAAUAAGAUGAAUCCUUGAAUCCGUGUCACCAACAAUAAGUCAUGCUGCUUCUGCUUCCCUUCGCCUCCUGACAGGUCUCUGGUGCCAUCCCGUUCUUCUCUUCAGGCAAUUAUUGUGAUAACCGCAUCCAGGCCAUCAAAGAAACAGCUCAGCGAUUGUCAUGACAACCUGAAGAGAGGACGAGCUGUACAGCCACCCAGCGCGGGGACAGAGGGUCCCUGUGACAGGAAGACAGCAUGAGACAAAGGACACAGAUGGAGCUCAGUAACACAGUAUAAGGCGAACCACCGAUACACGGGUGUUGUUAGGAAAGAUUCCUUCAUCACGUGUCCUUUCACCUGUGUCUGCUUCAGCAAAACAUCAUUUGGCAUAACCGACUUUCCAAAGAAGCCAGAAGUUUCCACUUUAAUCAUCUCUCUGCUGCCCCCACAGACCUGGUAGCGCGUUCUGUGGUCAGCUUGUCACAAACCAAGGUUACCCGGGAACCUUAACUGAAGAGCUGCCUCAUCAGACGGGCCUGUAUGCAAGUCUGUGCGGGCGGUUUCUUGAACGGUAAUUGGUGGAAGGAACUCACAGUGGGCCAUGCAACCCCCCCGCAACAGGUUUGUCCUACAUAAUAAAGCAAGCGGAUUGAGCCGCGGAGAAA
Molecule: long non-coding RNA, 653 nt
Filed under: Mus pahari (shrew mouse)
Lineage: Eukaryota; Metazoa; Chordata; Mammalia; Rodentia; Muridae
Description: predicted gene 15407 (MGP_PahariEiJ_G0005393.1)
Source: RNAcentral